Molecule: non-coding RNA, 209 nt
Filed under: Coprothermobacter proteolyticus
Lineage: Bacteria; Pseudomonadati; Coprothermobacterota; Coprothermobacteria; Coprothermobacterales; Coprothermobacteraceae
Also listed under: 1 other name
Source: RNAcentral
GAGCUAAGUACCGGGUCAGGUGACUAUGCCUUUUUUGAGGCAUGGGCCAAAAGGGAAGUCCGGUGAGAAUCCGGCGCUGUCCCGCAACCGUGACCGGGGAGCGAAGUCCAAGGUAAGAAUGCCACUGGCACCAAUAAAAGGCUGCUGGGAAGGCAAGGACCGAGCGUUGAUCCGGAAGCCGGGAGACCUGCCUGAUCUGUUACUUCCGA